CCCUUUUAAUUUUAACAAAGAAUAGAUACAUUGAUUAAAUGAGGGGUAGAUAAAGGGCAUGCUCAUUGUGCCGGUGUUUCAUUAGAGGUGCUUGGAAAUAGACAGUGAGAGGCCCACGGGGAUCCCAUUAAGGCUGCUGAAGCAUUUUCCUGUUUUGUGAGCGUGCCUUUGGUGAUUUUGAAAUACUGUAUCACUGGACAGGGUGAUUCUAAUAUAAGAGUUGUUUUAAUCCAACCAGAAACAGAGUAAGAAUAAAGCUGUGAGCCUCCUCCUGAGUAGAGAGAAUUUGCAGAAUUUUUGAGUAUCUCUUGUUAAAGAAAAGGGAAAAGAGAUUCUGUGUACGGCAGACCGUGAAGUUUCUAGAUUAAAUCAGAGAGAACUAAUGUGGCCGAAGGUUGGAUCUGAUAUGAGGCGAACAGAAGACCGGUCUAAAAAGAUUAAGAGGUACGCACAAACCUGUUCAAUAAGCAAAUUUGUGCAAAUUGGCUGAAUUCUAAAUUAUCUGUUCGCUGAGUAGAUGAUCUUAACUACUAAAUUGGCGCAGUAGGGGUAAAACUGAAUUCUCGAGAAUAAAGUAAAACGUUGAAGUAAUGAAUGAGUAACUUGGAAGUAAUGAGAAGCUUUGAAGCAAGGAUAAUGAAACUUUGAGGAACAGACAGUACUGAGUUAAAAGGUUAUAUGGUAUUUCAUGGUAAAGAAGAAAAAGAGACCAAUGCAUGUUUAGGAAUAGAGAAGAAUAUAAGAGUUAUUGGUCAGCUUAUGGUUUAAUAAGUGUCAAACUCACGGGAUUGGAGAAUCCUGUACUUCUUUGAGACUUCAAAGAGGAGCUCCGGCGUGGGCAUACGUCAGGUGGUGUUGCCGAGAGUUGUGGGCUCGGUGAAUAGCUAAUGAUCAAGAGGAUCAUUUUGGGAGACGCUCAUUGGCAAGUAAAGGAUUAAGUUCGGACGAGGAAGUCCGACAGAAACACCUGGUGCUGUCAGGAUGUUUAAGUGACACAGAAGUUCAGAAAAUCGAGUCAGAAAUGGUUUUGUGGCUCUUGGUAAACUGAUUUUGAAGGAAAAUCAGUGUUUAUUGUGCUGAAGUAACAUAUCCGGCGUGGUCUGAGGAAAAGAAAUAAAUCGGUUAAUGGCUGAUAUAUUUAUAUGAAUUUUGGUGGAUCUGCUGAGGUCCAGAAAAUAACGAACGUUAAUAAAUGAUCCAGGAAGAAUUGCCCUGGGUCUGUGUCUGUGUGUGUGUGUGUUGUUCAGUGACAACAUGCACAGUUUAAAAUUGGGCCCUGUUCCUUCCUCUUUUUAGUUUCAAAACACAAAGGCUGUUGGAUGAAGAAUUACUGUGUAAGGAACGGCUUCACUUUUGAUUAGGGAAAUAAUAUGCUUACUUUUGGGUUUAUGAAGAUCUCGUAACAAUCUGGGGGAGAUGCCGGGGUAAAAAGAGUGAGCUCGGACGAAGGGGUCCGAGAAAAGAACACCGUGAGUUGAGCAAGGUGUUUAACUGACUCAGGAUUUCAGAGAAUCGAGUCAGCUGUGAUCUCGAGUUUUAAUGGCCUGCAAAAGAGUGGAUAACAGCGCUGACAAAAAGUCUCGGGAGAACAAACAUAAAGGUGAUCUUCUCCAGAUUACAAUAGGUAGAGGAAAAGGCUAAGUCUCUGUCUAAAAGGAUUGCCGCGAGCCAAUCCAGUCUAAAAAGCAGAAAGAACUAUUUUCUUAAAAACAAAGUAAAACAAAUAAAUGAGUUGAUGUUGCUGAGAGUGAAGACUGAAUAUUUGCGAGAUAGUCUCCACUGUCAGCAAUACCUGAUGUUAAUGCAUGUGAGUGAAUGUGUGUAAAUGGAUGGUGACUGGACGGACGAGGCAGACCAUAGGUUGGACCGACUGGACACUGAGAUAAAGACUGGACUAAGGUUAGACACAUGACUGAUAACUGUUCUGGUUUAAGUUUCCUUUCUUAUAAUACAGGUUGGAUCAUAAGUGAGGAAAAACUGAGUAUGAAAUGUGAAGUUCUGGUUAACACACAGGUUUUUGUUUCUAGGAAGUUCCAAGGAUGCAGGCUGGGGAUGGAGCCAAGAAAAGAUUUGACAUAAUGAUUAAUUUGAUUUCAUUCCUUAAACACAGGUUUGAAGAGCCGGAGCAUGAAUAUCUAAUAUGAUAUGACUAACCUUUUUCUUUUAAUCUCCUAAGCUCGAGUGAAGGAUUUUGAGUUUGUAACACAUAAGAUGUGUCACAAAAGGGGGGAGUUACAGGAUUUAAGGUUUAAUUUGAAAUGGGUUUUAGGAUCGUUUUAUGACGUUUGGGGUUUUGAUAAUUUAGAUAUAGAAAUUGUUUUGUGGUUCUUUUGAUCUGUUUCUAUGCUUAGAUGGUGAUGGUUUAUAUCUUACCCUGGGCGUGUUUAAUAAAACUAAAAGUGUUGCUCACACACAUGAAGGGCAUGGAGAUUAAGUAAAGUUAAUAUAAAGGACAGAGCCCAGAACAUGAUAUGGUGAAACAACUUUGAAUGAUUAAAGGAACCUUAGAUGAAUAUAGUAGAUUAGUGAGGUGUAGCAGAGAGAGGCUUUUUGUUUUCUAUCCUUUACAGGAGAAGAUUUCAGGACCACAGCAACCACAGGGGUGGCAAGAAUCCUGGAAGCCUGAGAUCGAACGGAACCAACCAGAGAAAGGAGAAGAACAGAGCACAAAGACACCUAGUUGUUUAUAUAACAAAGAAGAUCAAAAGCUUGUUAGACAUAGGUUAUAAUGGAAGCAUAAAAGGGAUGAGAGGAACUUUACAUAACAUAGAAAUCCUGCAACAAUUCGUAAAUUGCCCAAACACAGUGUUCAGACCGGAUAUGCGCUACCCGUUAAAGGGGGCGAAGAAAUCAGGCCUAAGUUUGAAAAAUGAAAUGGGUUAACUCGAUAGAGGAUGUUUCCAAAGGUCGAGAAAAUAAUGUAGGACCUUUUACCAGGAGAAAGCUAAUUGUAUCUUUUACACUUUACAGUGUGCAUUGAGGGAAGUCAGGAAUAGUUUAAAUUAGGAUUAAAAAAUUGAACUAGGUGGAAAGGGGGUGUAGCAAGUAGAUUUAGGGCAGCUCACAGCCUGGCGUAAACGCAAGGUGCUGUCACACAGCUUAAGUUAUUUGUUUGAUUUAUUUUAAACAUUGAAAACAUACAACCCGUUGAGGAGACAGAUAGGGUUGGGGAAUUGAAAGGUUUUGUUUGUUUAGCAUAAUCUCUUUUGUUAUAUUUUAGCUUUAACAGGAACAUGCCUCUCUGGAGCUUCUCUCCUGAUGCUACCCUGCCAAAGACCCUUAUCCAUAGAGACUAUGUCAGCUCCCAAACAGACAACAACAAACCAAAUCUAGCAAUAAAACAAAUUAAACAUUAAUAGUAACAAAGCAAGAACAAUACAGAAUCCACAUCUGAACCGAAGAAUAAAACAGUGAAAUAUGGAUUAUUAAAUAUUAGGUCUCUCUCGUCAAAGCCUCUGUUAGCUCACGCCAAGCGGUCGCAGCAGAUGGUUGCCCGUACCUGAGCCUGGUUCUGUCGGAGGUUUCUUCCUGUUAAAAGGGAGUUUUUCCUUCCCACUGUUGCCAAAGUGCUUGCUCAUAGGGCGUCACAAGAUUGUUGGGUUUUUCUCUGUAUCUAUGAAGCGCCUUGAGGUAACUUUUGUGGUGAUUUGGCGCUAUAUAAAUAAAAUUCAAUUGAAUUGUAUUGAAGUAAACUUAAUGUGAUAAAUUAGAAUUAGUUCAUUUCUCAAGUGAGAAAUGAAAAAGGGGACUGGUGUUAGGAAUAAAAGAAAUAUUUUUAAUGUGUACUCUAAUAAUGAAGGCUUGUAGAGCAAGGCCACCUUUGACUCACAAACAAGUGCUCAGCCAGAUUGAAAAACAGGAAGUUUUAGUGCACAAGGCAUAUUAAUAGAUAUAGACACAAAAAAGAGGAACUCCCCAUACAAACAAUGUUCAAGACUGUGUGACGUGUAAAGUACCGAAAUAACACCAUAUAGGUCACAGCUGAUGAUUCUAAUGUUAGAGAGCUCUUGCAACUGGCGUCUGAGCUGUGCAGAGGUCUCUCACCCCCGGAAGAUGAUUGAAUAAAGAAAGACAGGUACUUAUGUAUGUCAGCAUAAGGUGGAGUCCAACAGAAGCAAGGCACCCUACAUGCGCACAGCAUGCAGCAGGGGUUGCCAAAAUAAUAUAGAAAACAGCACAUGCAGUGAGAGAACACCCACUAAAAGUUCUGACUACACAUAGUGUGGUGGCAUAUGUGAACUCGCAGGCGUUCGACUAUGACAUCAUUAGCACAACAGAGACUGAGUAAAGUUUUAGAUGCUCCAAAUCUGACAUUUACACAUGAAGGAAUCAAUAUGGCAGAUUUAAUGGGAUCAGGAGAACCUCAUGAUUGUACUAAGAAAGCAGAAGUUGAAGGGAAAGUCAGGGAAGAUUUAAAAGCAGAACCUAUCCCUGGAGCUGAGGAUUGGUUCAGAGAUGGCUGCUGUCAUCGUGAUGAAGAAGGAUCGAAAGCAGGCUAUGCUAUAGUCUGCAAACAAGGAACUGAAUUUGAGCCCACGAGGAGCUCCAGCAGUGGAAGGAGCCACGCUGGACGGGUCCUUAUGAGGUCGUUGCCAGAACAACUACAGCAGUUCAACUGAAAGGGAAAGGCGAUACCUGGCAUCAUUGGUCGCAGUGUGCGCCAGCACAUGAGAGCUUGCCAGAGGAAAACUCGUCUUUAACUAACACAGGUGUGAACGAUAACGAGCAGAGGCAAAAUAAAUCCUCUCACCUGUGCAACGGGCCAACCAGUAGUCUACCUGGGAGGCCAAGAGAGAAGAGGAGCAGCGCAGAAGGUCGCCACGCCAGCAGAAAGGAGCGGUGACAAGUUGAGGACUCCACAAAAGCAGGGAGUUUCAUUCCAGGAUAUAAAGUUUAUAUAACAUGAUGCAAACACACGAAUCAGAGACACGUAAUGAGAAAACUGAUUAGAAUGUUCCUUACAACUACAUGUUUAUUGUAUGCAAUGAUAUUAAUGAUGGCUGUGUUGUUUAUUGUUUAUAUUUUGC
Molecule: long non-coding RNA, 5027 nt
Organism: Oreochromis aureus
Lineage: Eukaryota; Metazoa; Chordata; Actinopteri; Cichliformes; Cichlidae
Source: Ensembl